GACGAACGCUGGCGGCGUGCCUAAUACAUGCAAGUCGAACGAGAGCGACCGGUGCUUGCACUGGUCAAUCUAGUGGCGAACGGGUGAGUAACACGUGGGUAACCUGCCCAUCAGAGGGGGAUAACAUUCGGAAACGGAUGCUAAAACCGCAUAGGUCUUCGAACCGCAUGGUUUGAAGAGGAAAAGGGGCGCAAGCUUCUGCUGAUGGAUGGACCCGCGGUGCAUUAGCUAGUUGGUGAGGUAACGGCUCACCAAGGCCGUGAUGCAUAGCCGACCUGAGAGGGUGAUCGGCCACAUUGGGACUGAGACACGGCCCAAACUCCUACGGGAGGCAGCAGUAGGGAAUCUUCCGCAAUGGACGCAAGUCUGACGGAGCAACGCCGCGUGAGUGAAGAAGGUUUUCGGAUCGUAAAACUCUGUUGUUAGAGAAGAAUAAGUGCUAGAGUAACUGUUAGCGCCUUGACGGUAUCUAACCAGAAAGCCACGGCUAACUACGUG
Molecule: ribosomal RNA, 498 nt
Filed under: uncultured bacterium
Lineage: Bacteria
Description: partial 16S ribosomal RNA
Rfam family: Bacterial small subunit ribosomal RNA
Source: RNAcentral